Molecule: ribosomal RNA, 465 nt
Filed under: uncultured Klebsiella sp.
Lineage: Bacteria; Pseudomonadati; Pseudomonadota; Gammaproteobacteria; Enterobacterales; Enterobacteriaceae
Description: bacterial SSU rRNA
Rfam family: Bacterial small subunit ribosomal RNA
Source: RNAcentral
CCUACGGGUGGCUGCAGUGGGGAAUAUUGCACAAUGGGCGCAAGCCUGAUGCAGCCAUGCCGCGUGUGUGAAGAAGGCCUUCGGGUUGUAAAGCACUUUCAGCGGGGAGGAAGGCGGUGAGGUUAAUAACCUCAUCGAUUGACGUUACCCGCAGAAGUAGCACCGGCUAACUCCGUGCCAGCAGCCGCGGUAAUACGGAGGGUGCAAGCGUUAAUCGGAAUUACUGGGCGUAAAGCGCACGCAGGCGGUCUGUCAAGUCGGAUGUGAAAUCCCGGGGCUCAACCUGGGAACUGCAUUCGAAACUGGCAGGCUAGAGUCUUGUAGAGGGGGGUAGAAUUCCAGGUGUAGCGGUGAAAUGCGUAGAGAUCUGGAGGAAUACCGGUGGCGAAGGCGGCCCCCUGGACAAAGACUGACGCUCAGGUGCGAAAGCGUGGGGAGCAAACAGGAUUAGAUACCCGUGUAGUC